AGUCACUCGUGUUUGCUCCUUUCUUUGCCAGCCACGGUGGCAUUCUGUUCAAGAUCUUCUAAGAAUGAAAGAGGAAUGAAUCUUUGCCAUUACAUCAUCCUCUCUUCCUUCCAUUGACAUAACCUCUCCUCUACGAAAUUUUCAAUGCUUUUUUUAGACUUCAUAUUAUCAUAUAUUCAAGUCUGUAGCUUUGAUUCCCUUUUGAGAAACUUGUAGUUUCAAGUGGCAGAGCCUUUU
RNAcentral lists this long non-coding RNA (237 nucleotides) under Cucumis sativus (cucumber). RNAcentral's name for it is "long non-coding RNA (CSAT_LNC000228)". Lineage: Eukaryota; Viridiplantae; Streptophyta; Magnoliopsida; Cucurbitales; Cucurbitaceae. The record is from RNAcentral.